GAUGAACGCUAGCGGCAGGCCUAACACAUGCAAGUCGAGGGAGAGGUUACCUUCGGGUAACCAAAACCGGCGCACGGGUGCGUAACGCGUAUACAAUCUGCCUUUCACAUAGGGAUAGCCCGAAGACAUUUGGAUUAAUACCUAAUGGUAUAUAAGAGCGGCAUCGUUUUUAUAUUAAAGCUACGGUGGUGAAAGAUGAGUAUGCGUUCUAUUAGCUAGUUGGAGAGGUAACGGCUCCCCAAGGCGACGAUAGAUAGGGGUUCUGAGAGGGAUGUCCCCCACACUGGUACUGAGAUACGGACCAGACUCCUACGGGAGGCAGCAGUGAGGAAUAUUGGACAAUGGUCGGAAGACUGAUCCAGCCAUGCCGCGUGCAGGAUGAAGGUCCUAUGGAUUGUAAACUGCUUUUGUAAGGGAAGAAUAAGGAGUACGUGUACUUUGAUGACGGUACCUUACGAAUAAGCAUCGGCUAACUCCGUG
RNAcentral lists this ribosomal RNA (480 nucleotides) under uncultured bacterium. RNAcentral's name for it is "partial 16S ribosomal RNA". It matches the Rfam family "Bacterial small subunit ribosomal RNA", at positions 28 to 507 of the family's 1533-position model. The record is from RNAcentral.